Long non-coding RNA from Cornus florida, 699 nucleotides. RefSeq lists it as uncharacterized. The record is from RefSeq and is a predicted model, not a curated record. The transcript is spliced from 3 exons. NCBI's taxonomy places the organism in Eukaryota, Viridiplantae, Streptophyta, Magnoliopsida, Cornales, Cornaceae.
AAUCUCUUAUAGGCACCUCAUUGUCUCACCGUACUUCUAUCGUCUCUUCUACUCUGUCGUAACGAUACUCCCUCUUCCAUAACAUCAACCGACGCGGCCAUAUCUGAUCGUUCUCUUCUCUUCGAUCUUUUGCUUGAUCUCUUCACCACUGUUGCCUAUCGCUCUGUAUCUUCAUUGUUGAGUGUAUAAUCUACUACAGCUUUGAUCUAUUUAUAUUGUUUCGAAAGAAAAGGCAUAUCAUACCCAAAAUGUUAUCAUAAAGACAAAUUGCAGCUAAUAAAUGGGAUGCUGUGAAGAAAAUUAUUAUUCUAGAGAGUGUACAAACACUUAAAGUGAGACCGAGUAUGGAAAGUCGAAAAGAAAAACUGUUUAGGAUUUGGAGCAAUAUGAGUAAAUGACACAAAUGUAUAAAACCAGCACGGACAAGCUUGACAUAGCUUAAUUCCCUGAGUAAAGCGAUGUCUUUAGUAAUUCGUUCAUAUUUUGUAUUCUUAUGGAUAUGUUGGUUUUUUUUUAUAAUUUAUUAGUUGGUUUUUAAUAGACAAGCCAUUGUUAGAUGUAAUGGAAAUGCUAUGCAUGGAUGUAUUUAAUAGUUUCUCUUUUUUUUUAUAGACAAGCCCUAUGGAUAUAUGUAUACAAUGUGUAAUGGAUGUAUUUUAUUUGAAAUAAUUAAUUGAAUUAUUUUUUAAGUUUUUACUA